GGGUGGUAGUCCAACCUUCAUAUAGAGCUUUUUAACCCUGAAAAGUAGUUGAUUGCACACCUGCAUCCAAACGAUGACAUGUACAUGUGGAACCAGGUUAUUUGUACCUAAGUCACUAUGUGUUUGGUGAUUUUCUUCUAGAAAGAAUGUAUUGUUGACAGUUUUGACGGGGUAAAAAUAGGGCUUAUCUACUGUCAACAAGAACCCCCAUAGUUAAGUCUUUGCUCGUCCUCGAGCAAAGGUUAGAGGAAGAUAACCUAUGAUUAUGACACUUUUAAGAUAUAAGCAAACACAAAUACUACUCAAGACAUAUCUUAUACAAGUGGGUUAUGUGGCACUGUCUAACAUAUAUCCUUAGGAUGUUGAAAAAAUGGAACAGUUCUCAAAGCAAAGUCAUCUUCCCAUUUUCAUAUCCUUAGUACUUAGAGUUUUUGAUAAAUGUUUUAAAAGAAAACACAUAGUUCAUCCUUACUCCUCUAAUAGUACUCUCAAGACACUCAGUAAGUAUAGGAUUCCUCACCAAGGCAUAACAUAAGAUUGCCUUCUUUUGUUUCAUCCUACAUCUAUUAGGCUUAUGGGGCUCAGGCAGGGGGAAACAAGAUAGCAUACUUUCAUUUUAUCUAUUGUAAAGUCAAAAUAAGGAUCCAAGGAUAAGAAUGUCAUAAUCCUAGAUCAAGAUAUGUAAGUGUGUGAAAAAUGAUUAGAAUAGAAUGCUCCUAUAUUUGAUAAGAUCUCUCUCUCUAUUUUAUUUGAGACAUGGCUAGCCUUGUUUUUUAUUUUUUCUUUUCUCUUUUUUUCAAAAGCAAUGGACCUUCAUGUGCCCACCUUUUUUUACUAAGCAUACCUUUGUGUCUGAUCUUAUAACCAAUACUUAAAGAGAGAAAUUCUAAACCUUAAAACAUGGAGCAUCUAUAUGGUGGAAAUGGAUGACAUGUUUUUGCGUACUUCCAGUGUAGAAGUAGCAUAUAUAUGUGGUGUGUGUGUGAUCUUGAUCUUGGGACUAUGACAUAAUUCUCAACUAGGGUCACAAGGAUUGACUAAACUCGACACAAGUACAAGUAGCAUAUAUAGAAGGGUUUUGAACAAGGUAUGAACAUAUAUGGCUGUGGUAGGAAUUCUCUUACUAUCGAGGAGUAAGUGACACUAUGGUUUUAUGAUAUUCUCAAAAAUAAAUCUCUAAGCACUUUGAAUAGAAAGGGUAUGAAUCAUGAGCUAAGAAGUAUAUCACAAUUGUCAACAACCAAGUCAAUAUGAUAUUCCUAUCAAGAUAUGUGACCCACAAGUAUAAGCAUAUGCAAGACUUAGACUUUGUGACACUUUUACCCUUUUAAUGUCAUGAAUCAUGUCACACUUUUAAUGUCAUAAAUCAUAUAUCCAAGUCUUCUUGUUUUUAUUUUUUGUUUUGUUUUAUCUAAUAAAGCAAACAAUAGACAAAAGUAAUAAAAAAUGAAAGAACAAAGGGGUGUUGACACUUGCUAACACCACUUGAAUACUAGGUUGUCAUCCCCAACAUGGAACUAGAGUGUACUAUGGUAUUUAUACGCACACAGAUAAAUCCGCAAGCGCACGGAUACCGUUGUAGGUUUUACCCGGUUAAAGGUUUUAUCGUAUCCACAGGGAAACGGGAGAACUGAUCUACGCUCUAACUUAACCUAGAUAGAUAGGUAGGUGUAAAUAGGAAAGAUGGUAGAAUUGAAUACGAACAAUAUUAAAGGUAAGAUAACAAUGGGUGAUAAUAUGGGAAUAGAGAGUAGAGCAAUCUAGUAUAUGGGCGAUGGUAGGAGAAUAAAGAGGAUAACUAUGGUUUCUCUACUUCAGAGGGGUAUAUCUAUGUCUGGGACGAACCACGUAAUAAGAAUAUACCACAAAGGAUGCUUAUCCAUAGGCCGAUAAACCCUACCAGUCCUACUAACGGGAGGUGGACUACAGGGGACCACACGAUCCGGCUAGACAAGGGAUAUCCACAAGUAAUCUAGGUCUAAGCACCACGCUUACACCUAUACUACAACUCUCACCUAUAGCGUCCUAUAGAUUAAAGUACUCAAAAGAGUUGUGAACCAGAACAUACAUGGAUAGUAAUUGCAUAAUGAAAUAGAAAUAGAUUACCAGAGUCAUCCCAUGAGCAAGCUUGAUUAGAGCUUGAUCAUGGCGAAGUACAACUGGAGGAAGAACCGACAGGCCGGCCUCUCCUCCAAUCCUCCCUCACUCUCCAUCUCGCUACUAUCUAGAUCUACUCUAGUUUAGAGAAGAGAGGAGAGCUCCCAUCUCCAAACCCUAGCUUUUGCUCUGUCUAUGAAUAAUGAAUAAGGAUGAAGGGGUUGCCUCCUCCAGGGGCUAGGGGGUCUGCUUAUAUAGUCCCCUCAAGUGAAUCUGGGUCGUCGGAUCAAACCGACAUUAAUCGCACGGUUUUCCUUAAUCCUUUAGGUCGGUGGAGCAUAAUCCGCGAGACGGAACCUGAUCGGUUCCUCUAGCUAGGCGGGCGCCCUGCCCCCGAGUCUGCUAGGCUUCCCGUUCGUUCCCAUGUCUUCUGGAGUCUUCUAGAUGAUAGAAAAUUGCACGGCACGUUAAUAUCUCUAUCUAAACCCGACAUGUGGGCCUUUCCUCCAUAUUUCCUGAUAACCCCCUACAGAAAUAGACAAACACCAAAACUCGUGGAAUUCUGUCAGAUAAAACCCUAAGUCUAGGUGUCGGUUGCAUUUGGAUCCUUUUCUUUAUUUAUCUGAGCAAGGAUGGACUCAAGAGUUUCUGCAGUGGUUUCAUGCCUUAAAGGUACACAUGCGUUCAGUCAAGAUCUCAUCUCUAGGUUAGGGUAAUCUGUUAAGAUUUAAACUUACUCAUUUUACCUUUGACCAUGGGGCUUGCAACCGUCACUUGUGUCUUGAGCAGUUAAAAGAGAGAACGGUCUAGUCAAGCGUCAUGUCUCUUAUUUUUGAUCAGCUAUAGCUCUGGAGUUUUUAUAGAUUUUCAAAAUAAAACUCAGAGAUUCCUUGUAUGACUCUCUCUAGUCUCUCUUUUGUGGUAUUUCUAGAUCCUUACCAAGGCAGUGAUGAUAUAUGCCUUCUCUAAGUAUGUGGUAUUUGUGGUAUGAAGCAUAAUGAUAUUGCCUUCUCUCUCACCCUACUCUAACAAGGUUUUGAUAGCUGGAACUCAUAGGUGGGAGACAGCUAAUACAUACUUACAAGACAUUUAUUGCAUAGUCAAACAAUGGAUCUAGAGAAACAAGUCAAUAAGUCAAAUCAAGAUGUGCAUGUGUGGCGAAUGAAUGGUGUAUGGUGAUGAUAGUGAUAAUGGUGAAAGCAAUGGUGAAAGUCUAAUUCUACUUUUGCUCUUUUGAGGGGAUACAUACCUUUCUUGCAGUUUGAAGCUUUUUGAGGAGAAUGAGAUGCUCUAUAUUUUCUUUUUCUUUUCUCUCAGGUGGGUAUCUUGUACCCCUAAUUCUACUAUUGGACACUUGUCCAUCUUUACCUCUCGUCUCACUUUUUCUUUUCUUCGAGGUUCCGGGCACUUGCCCCUUUUUAUUUCCUCGUAUUUUUUUCUUUUUUUUCUUCUCUCUCUUUUUUUAGAGCACUCACCCUCCUGGAAUAAUGUAGCAAGUCGUAGUAACCAAAAUAUCUUGAGCAUUUAUUUCACAGGGAAAAACAGGAAUGGGAUAAAGUUUUUGGCUAUUCUCUCCCGGAUAGGAGUAGAAUAAUUUUGGGUGAAUCUGGAGAUGGAAAUGAGUGGAUGGAUGCGUACUUCCGGAGUAGAAGCAGCAUGUAUGAGUGAACAUGCAAGUGAAUCUUGAUUUUAACUGUAUGACAAGCUCUUAAGGUUCUACACAGCUUGACCACACUCAAUGCUCAUAAGCAGUAAAAAAGUAAAUGUAUGGUUCAUAGUCUAAUAAGCAUGUAUAUUUAGCUGUGGUAGGAUUUUAAACUCUCAUCAUACAUACAGGAACUCAUCAUGCAACAUUUUAAAGAUUUUCAAAGAUAAAAUUCUCCAGAAUUCUAGCAUCUCUAGGAACAGAUAAACAGUAGCUCAACCUUCCCAUAUCAUAUCCGUUAAUGACUUAGACUUUAGAUCAAGUACUCUUCCCACAAGUUCAGGUUUAGAGCAAAUCUUAAUUCAUAACAUUCAUGCCUAAACUUGAGAGAGAAUUUAAUUUUGUGAACUAGUCAUGGCAGAGCAACUAUUCAUCAUUUCCAUGUGAGAGCUUAUCAUGAGGGUUCAUAGCAAGCUUUAUUUAUUUAUUUAUUUAGCAAACUAAGCAAAGAUAUAUAUAUAUAAGCACAAAAUCUUUAUUUGGGUUUUUAUAAUGAUGCAUCUUUUUAUUAUUUGAGUAAAGUAUAAACACGAGUAGAAACACUAAGCUGGAUAAAUGGGGGAGCUCUCCCCCAAGCUGGAUUUUGACUUAAUUUCUUCUGAUGUAGCUAGCAGGUGGCGGAGGUGUAUUUGAAUGUCGGCGGCACCCUGACUGCGAUUAGGAUGUCCUCCGUCUGCUAGUCUUCUUUGAUUCUUGAAUUCUGUGGAGCUCAAAUAGACAACAAAGCUUUGUGGAACUGGUUAAGUGUUAGCAUAAAAUCUCUUUGCCUUUAUCAUGUUGAGCUUCCUCCUAAUAAAUUUUAUUUAUUUAGCACGAUCAUGCACUUAUCAUUUUUAUAUUUUUAUUGUAAGAUGAAAACAUAUUUAUUUUAUGCCACCACAGUCAAUAUACCUAUGGGUUUUAAACCACAAGUCUACUCACGUGGG
This 4728-nucleotide long non-coding RNA is filed under the name Sorghum bicolor (sorghum). Its description in RNAcentral is "long non-coding RNA (SBIC_LNC006456)". Lineage: Eukaryota; Viridiplantae; Streptophyta; Magnoliopsida; Poales; Poaceae. The record is from RNAcentral.